UUAUAUAACAUAAAUGAUAUUCAUAUAAUAUAAAUAAUAAUAUACCAAUAUUAAUUAACUCUUUUAUUAUUUGGACAAAUCAAAUAGACACAUCAAUUAGUAUUAGUAUUUUGUUAUUUUUUAUAAAUAUUAUGUCAAAUUUAAAAAAUAUAAAAUAUAGAAGUAUUAAUUUUAAAUUUUAAAUAAAUCAUUACCAGUAAAAUAAAAUAAAAAAAAAUUCUAUAAUUUCAUUUAAAAUUAUAUAAAUUUGAUUAAAAUUAAAACUUUAUCGUUUUAUUGCGUAGUUUUAGUUUUGAGGGAAAUGAAAACUUUAACUACAACAAAUAACACCCAUUACAUAGUAAAUCCUAAUUCUAUUUUCUCUCAAGCCUCCUCUGCCCUCUAACCUUACAGCAAUAACCAUCGUUUCUUCUCCUUCAAUCUUGGUUCUCACCGUCUUGCUGCUCGCCAUCAUAUUUCAUCAAGCCUCCACCCUCGACGAUCAUCUAGUUAUCUUUCUUCUUCAAACACUUGCAUUAGCCGUACGUAAUAUAGUGGAUUAUUUUACAAGGAAAAGUUUCAGUUGUGGCUAAACAUUGGGUUCAUGAUGCUCAGAAGGACAGAAAGGGAAAUAGAUAAUUAGAGGCUAUGUAAAGGAAAGGGAAAUGGACAGUUGCAUGAUUAGCCAGGCUAUUGAGAUUUCCCUCCUUAACUUGAUGCAACAAAGGAAGUACUGUUAGUUUAAGUGAUGGAUUAUAUGUCCUAGUUGGAUAGAGAAUGUAUAUACUAUUCAAACGGAAAUUGUCCACCUCUCUUAUAGUCAAAGGAGCACAUCAUCUCAACCUCAUGUGGCUGAAACAAUUCAACCUUCGAGCCAACAUGAAAAAGAGAUGGACAGAAGGAUGAAAAGGCUAAGAUCUUAGGGAAGAGAUGUGGCAUCUAGAUUCAUACAAAACACAAGAAGACCAAGCAUUGAAUCUUAGACAUGAAUUAUGACUUUGUGGUAGUUUGUAAGCUGUACAGGACAGGCACCAUUGGCUUUUUUAUAAGGUUGUCUAUCAAAUAGAAAAUAGGUAGAAAACAUUUACUCUAACUGCUAUUUUAUUUACCUAAGUUUCUACUAUAAGGCCAUAUUUUGUUGGUGAAAUGGCACUUUUAUACCAUAUGAUUUUUAUUUUGUGUUUUACAAUUGAAACAAGAAAUUCUGUU
This is a long non-coding RNA of Ricinus communis (castor bean), 1188 nucleotides long. RefSeq lists it as uncharacterized. The transcript has 4 exons. Lineage: Eukaryota; Viridiplantae; Streptophyta; Magnoliopsida; Malpighiales; Euphorbiaceae. The record is from RefSeq and is a predicted model, not a curated record.